GCAUGGCUAAAACAUGCAAGUCGAACGCGAAAGUCCUUCGGGGCGAGUAGAGUGGCGAAAGGGCGAGGAAUACAUUCCUACGUACCCCAAGGUCGGGGAUAGCCCGGGGAAACCCGGUGUAAUACCCGAUGUGGUCUCCGGAUCAAAGAUUUAUCGCCCGGGGAGCGGGGAACGUGCUAUCAGCUUGUUGGUGAGGUAACGGCCCACCAAGGCUAAGACGGCUAGCGGGUGUGAGAGCACGACCCGCCGCAUCGGGACUGAGACACUGCCCGGACUCCUACGGGAGGCUGCAGUAACGAAUCUUCCGCAAUGGGCGAAAGCCUGACGGAGCAAUGCCGCGUGCAGGAUGAAGGCCUUCGGGGUGUAAACUGCUGUCAGGGUAUAGGAAGAUCUGACCAGACCCAAAGGAAGGGCCGGCUAACUUCGUGCCAGCAGCCGCGGUAAUACGAAGGGCCCGAGCGUUAAUCGGAAUCACUGGGCUUAAAGCGUACGUAGGCGGACAUGUAGGUACUUUGUGAAAUCCCACCGCUCAACGGUGGAACUGCUGGGUAUACCGCAUGUCUUGAGACAGGUAGGGGUCGUCGGAACGAUAGGUGGAGUGGUGAAAUGCGUUGAUAUCUAUCGGAACGCCGAAGGAGAAGUCAGGCGACUGGGCCUGUUCUGACGCUGAGGUACGAAAGCGUGGGUAGCGAACGGGAUUAGAUCCCCCGGUAGUCCACGCCGUAAACGAUGUGCACUAGGUUGGGGACGUACUGACACGUUUCCUGGCCGAAGCGAAAGUGUUAAGUGCACCGCCUGGGGAGUACGGUCGCAAGGCUAAAACUCAAAGGAAUUGACGGGGGCUCACACAAGCGGUGGAGCAUGUGGCUUAAUUCGAAUCAACGCGAAGAACCUUAUCCUGGGUUUGACAUGUAUGGAUUAACCCCUGGAAACAGGGGCCACACCCUUGGGUGGAACAUACACAGGUGCUGCAUGGCUGUCGUCAGCUCGUGCUGUGAAGUGUCGGGUUAAGUCCCUUAACGAGCGCAACCCCUAUCGUUAGUUACUAACAUAACACGUUAUGGUGAGGACUCUAACGAGACUGCCGGUGUCAAACCGGAGUAAGGUGGGGAUGACGUCAAGUCCUCAUGGCCCUUACGACCAGGGCUGCAAACGUGCUACAAUGGUAUGGACAGAGCGACGCAAGACCGCGAGGUGGAGCAAAUCGCACAAACCAUGCCCCAGUUCGGAUAGCAGGCUGAAAUUCGCCUGCUUGAAGCCGGAAUCGCUAGUAAUCGCGUAUCAGCAUGCCGCGGUGAUACGUUCCUGAGCAUUGUACACACCGCCCGUCAAGUCAUGGAAGCUGGCAGCGCCCGAAGUCGCCUCGAAUCAGGGGUGCCCACGGCGAGGCUGGU
This 1394-nucleotide ribosomal RNA is filed under the name uncultured prokaryote. Its description in RNAcentral is "partial 16S ribosomal RNA". It matches the Rfam family "Bacterial small subunit ribosomal RNA". The record is from RNAcentral.